Long non-coding RNA from Carassius carassius (crucian carp), 1127 nucleotides. RefSeq lists it as uncharacterized. The transcript is spliced from 3 exons. The record is from RefSeq and is a predicted model, not a curated record. Lineage: Eukaryota; Metazoa; Chordata; Actinopteri; Cypriniformes; Cyprinidae.
GUCACAGCAUACUGAGUGCAUCUCAUUCAUUUAUGGGACAAUAUGGAGCUCAUCUGGUUCAUAUUCACUUUACUGCUGACUGUCUAUAAAUCCAAUGGAGAAAUCCGCCAAGAGCCAAUAAUCUUUGCCAACAGGAGUUCAGAUGUGCCACUGACAUGUCAACAUGAUAAUUCUGACCAUUACAGAUUGUUCUGGUACAGACAAGCAAAGGGGACUGUGGGUUUGUCUUUAUUGGUAUAUUCUGCUGGCCCAAAUCAGGCAAAUAUUGAAGAACCAUUUAAAACUCAAGGUUCUAAGUAUGCAGCAACCCGUCCUGUAAUAGGGAUGUCCACGCUGCAGAUUAACAGACUAGAGACUGAAGACUCAGCUCUCUAUUAUUGUGCCACGAGCACACAGUAAUAUAUUACAGCUGCACGGCUAAACAACAACCACAAAGUUAACACUGCGCAGUUCAUUCAGCUCUCAUUUAUGAUGUAAUUUCCUGUUCCUUUUGAUCAUAGACACACUAAAUAGGACAGUCAAAAUAAAUCUAGAAGGGGUGAGAGACAGCAAGGAGCGGAUUCUCCUCUUUCAUAACAUGGGCCUGCUUUGUUUGGGGUUUAUUUUGCUGCUAGUUAUUAAUUCAUUAGGAGGAAUAACCAUCAUUCAGAAUGAUCAAGUUAGUAAAACUCAAGUGAUUAUUCAACGGGAUAAACAGGUUAUUUUAAAAUGUAACCACGAUGAUAGCAGCUAUUAUUAUAUGUACUGGUACAGACAGAGAGGUCAAGGUGAACUGUCCCUUGUUGCUAUUUCUCUUGCUAAAGAUUCAACAGAAAUAGUUGCCCCAUUCUCAAAAACUAAAUACACAAUGGAACGUCCUGAAACUAAAGAAUCUUCACUGGAGAUCAAGGAUCUAGCAGAGGAGGACUCGGGUAUUUAUUUCUGCGCCUCAAGUAUUGCACAGUACCUUAACUUAGCCAAGCACCUGAACAAUAACCUCAGCCUGAGCCACAAUGAUCAGAGAGAAAAUACAUUAUUAUCAAGCUGGUUGUGGGAUAUACUUUCUUUAAUCUCCUUUUACAAAAUUCAUAUGCACACCCUUUAAACAAUAGAUGGAGGAAUGAUGACAUAAUAUAAAUCUAAUAAAU